GAAUCUUUGAACGCAUAUUGCGCUCUCUGGCAUUCCGGAGAGCAUGCUUGUUUGAGUAUCAGUAAACACCUCAAGUCGAGAGAUUUUUUUCUUGAGACUUGGAUUUGAGUGAUCCUAAUGACGAGUCCUUCUAAAAAAAGGACAAGUAGGCAGGUUACUUGAAAUUCAGGUGCAGCUGAACUUUUCUUCUGAGCUAAAAGCAUUAUUUAUUUAGUCUUUAUUGACUAUUACUUUUUUUGCUGCAGCUAAUAUAAAGGAAGAAGAGCUUCAUUAUAGCUGACUGAUGCAGGAAUUGAUCAGUCUGUAAAAGGACUGUUAGACUCGAUCUCAAAUCAAGUAAGACUACCCGCUGAACUUAAGCAUAUCAAUAAGCGGAGGAAAAGAAACNAACAAGGAUUCCCCUAGUAACGGCGAGUGAAGCGGGAUGAGCUCAAAUUUAAAAUCUGGCUGGUUUACUAGUCCGAAUUGUAGUUUAAAGAAGCGUUUUCGGUGGCAGCCUGGGUAUAAAUCCUUUGGAAUAGGGUAUCAUAGAGGGUGAGAAUCCCGUCUUUGACUCAGUGAAUGCUACUAUGUGAUACGUUUUCAAAGAGUCGAGUUGUUUGGGAAUGCAGCUCAAAAUGGGUGGUAAAUUUCAUCUAAAGCUAAAUAUUGGCGAGAGACCGAUAGCGAACAAGUACCGUGAGGGAAAGAUGAAAAGAACUUUGAAAAGAGAGUUAAAAAGUGCGUGAAAUUGUUGAAAGGGAAACGUUUGGCACCAGUCAUGCGGGUGGGAAAUCAAUCUUUUGGGAUGGGGAGUGUUGGAGGUUCAGACCGCAAGGCUGGCCUUUAGCUCGAUCUCUGUUCUAAGGGAUGCACUUUCUCAUUUGCAGGUCAACAUCAGUUUCUUCUGCUGGACAAAACUCUAAGAGAAGGUAGCAGCUUUGGCUGUGUUAUAGCUCUGGAGCGAUACAGUGGAGGGGACUGAGGUUUUCGCAGUGUGUGCUUUCGGGCAAGGUUGACUGGGUGCUCUGUGAUUGUUCGGUGUACAAUGCAUGCAUUUUGCGCUGUGUCUUUUGCAGACUCGCUUGAAUCGACU
This 1075-nucleotide ribosomal RNA is filed under the name uncultured Mortierellaceae. Its description in RNAcentral is "eukaryotic LSU rRNA". The stretch from base 323 to 1075 matches the Rfam family "Eukaryotic large subunit ribosomal RNA", at positions 1 to 613 of the family's 3401-position model. The record is from RNAcentral. Lineage: Eukaryota; Fungi; Mortierellomycota; Mortierellomycetes; Mortierellales; Mortierellaceae.